UUGUGGCACGCUGGGAGAGACAAGUGUGUGUCUAUUGAGAGCAGAGCACCGGCUCUUUGUUUCCAGUGCAGAAACAUCAAAUGAAGCAGGGCCUUCAAGAAGUGAUCAGGUAGACCCUGACCUUCAAACUGGCAGCACCUGAAGCAGACAGAUUGGUGCCAAAACUCAGGAUCGUGGCAUGGCGUAACCGCAACCGGGCCAGCCAGGGGAGCUGCGGGCCCAAAUGCUGGCCGAGCUCGUGACCAUGCAGUGGGACCAAGCGACGGUGUUUCGCCACCAGUGGGAACAACUGCAGGACGGGCAGCAUUAAAACCUUAUAUCAUGGGACGAAGCUCAGAGCUACUGUAGAGAAAGAUAUAAAGACCUGACUACAGCGCCUAACAUGAAAUCUAUGGAGAGACUGUACACAGAUUCUACAGAGAAUCAGCCUGGAUUGUACAACAUCUCAGGAAGAGAAAACAGGACUUUUCACACACUUUUAUUUCCAGUUGUUGUAAUUUACACACACCGCCACAACAAUUACAACAGGACGCAGUACAGACUUUUAUACAGGGGAGGCGUGGUAAGCUGAAUGAGCUGAGGUGUAUCAGCCUCCCCCGCAGGGACGCCACGAACCACGCCUGCCACACAUAAAUCUUUAUGCUUCAAUAAUGAGAAUGUGUGGAUAUAGUUGUACUGACUUUGAUUCAACAUAUCUUGUCUAAAAUGCCAAAUAAUGGUGCAGGAAUACUGACGGACUAGAAAGAGAGUUUAUUUCUCCCACUCUUCCUUAUUUUUGUCACGGUCCUGGAUCAGUGACCCAGUGCUUUGGUUUGUUUCAUCAUCAUCAUCAUCAUUAUUAUUAUUAUUAUUAUUAUUAAUAAUAAUAAUAAUAAUAAUCGUUGGUUUCAUCUUGGUUUAUUACUACCAGUUUUUUGGUUUCUGCUUUGUAUUUUGAGCUCCCUCUGUUGUGUCCAGUUUGUCUCUGUGUCUGUCGUUUGCUUCCUGUUUUACUUUGAAAGUCUGUGUCAGUGUUU
Oreochromis niloticus (Nile tilapia) is the source of this 1016-nucleotide long non-coding RNA. RefSeq lists it as uncharacterized. The transcript is spliced from 4 exons. The record is from RefSeq and is a predicted model, not a curated record. NCBI's taxonomy places the organism in Eukaryota, Metazoa, Chordata, Actinopteri, Cichliformes, Cichlidae.